Molecule: long non-coding RNA, 484 nt
Organism: Bubalus bubalis (water buffalo)
Lineage: Eukaryota; Metazoa; Chordata; Mammalia; Artiodactyla; Bovidae
Exons: 3
Source: RefSeq, a predicted model, not a curated record
GGAGCACAGAGUCUCAGCCACUGGACCACCAGGGAAGUCCCUGGAAAAAUUUUUUAAAGCAGUUUUUCAGUUGCUUAAAGAAACCGCAAGGAAUGGACAACUCUGGUUCUCAGCCUGGCUUUGCCACUUAUAGGCUGCAUAACCCUGGGCAAGAUAUUCAAGCAGCUAAGAUACUCAGACCUCACUCUGUAAAAGGCAGCUCUUGAGAAGCCUGAGAUGAGGGGACCAGGGUCCAGGAGUGAGAAGGAGUGAAGCUGAGCCCUUUUCAAAGGCUCAGAGAACGUGCUCCUUUAGGCAUCUGGUGGUUAAUAGAAGCGUCAUACUACAAACCCCCUCCAUGGACCACAACUUGGUCAUGGUGAAUGGAAGGACUGAUGUUUGGGCCACCUGAUGUGAAGAGCCAGCUCAUUGGGAAAGACCCUGAUGCUGGGAAAGAUUGAGGGCAAGAGGAGAAGGAGGAGACGGAGGAUGAGAUGGUUGGAUG